CCUACGGGUGGCAGCAGUGGGGAAUAUUGGACAAUGGGGGCAACCCUGAUCCAGCCAUGCCGCGUGUGUGAAGAAGGCCCUCGGGUUGUAAAGCACUUUCAGUGAGGAAGAACGCCUGGUGGUUAAUACCCAUCAGGAAAGACAUCACUCACAGAAGAAGCACCGGCUAACUCCGUGCCAGCAGCCGCGGUAAUACGGAGGGUGCGAGCGUUAAUCGGAAUUACUGGGCGUAAAGCGCGCGUAGGUGGCUUGAUAAGCCGGUUGUGAAAGCCCCGGGCUCAACCUGGGAACGGCAUCCGGAACUGUCGAGCUAGAGUGCAGGAGAGGAAGGUAGAAUUCCCGGUGUAGCGGUGAAAUGCGUAGAGAUCGGGAGGAAUACCAGUGGCGAAGGCGGCCUUCUGGACUGACACUGACACUGAGGUGCGAAAGCGUGGGUAGCAAACAGGAUUAGAUACCCAGGUAGUC
Molecule: ribosomal RNA, 465 nt
Filed under: Vreelandella stevensii
Lineage: Bacteria; Pseudomonadati; Pseudomonadota; Gammaproteobacteria; Oceanospirillales; Halomonadaceae
Description: partial 16S ribosomal RNA
Rfam family: Bacterial small subunit ribosomal RNA
Source: RNAcentral